CGUCGUGAGACAGUUUGGUCCCUAUCUGUUGUGGGCGUAGGAUACUUGAGAAGAGCUACCUCUAGUACGAGAGGACCGAGGUGGACGAACCAAGGGUGUGCCGGUUGUACUGCCAAGUGCAUAGCCGGGUAGCUAUGUUCGGAAAGGAUAAGCGUUGAAAGCAUCUAAACGCCAAGCCUCCUUCAAGAUAAGGUAUCCCAUGAGACCCCCUGAAGAUGACAGGGUUGAUAGGUUGGGUGUGUAAGCACAGCAAUGUGUUUAGCUAACCAAUACUAAUCGGUCGAUUGGCUUGAUCACUUUUUUUU
RNAcentral lists this ribosomal RNA (305 nucleotides) under Parachlamydiales bacterium. Its description in RNAcentral is "partial 23S ribosomal RNA". It matches the Rfam family "Bacterial large subunit ribosomal RNA", at positions 2617 to 2925 of the family's 2925-position model. The record is from RNAcentral. Lineage: Bacteria; Pseudomonadati; Chlamydiota; Chlamydiia; Parachlamydiales.